Molecule: ribosomal RNA, 460 nt
Filed under: uncultured bacterium
Lineage: Bacteria
Description: partial 16S ribosomal RNA
Rfam family: Bacterial small subunit ribosomal RNA
Source: RNAcentral
CCUACGGGAGACAGCAGUGAGGAAUAUUGGUCAAUGGACGAGAGUCUGAACCAGCCAAGUAGCGUGAAGGAUGACUGCCCUAUGGGUUGUAAACUUCUUUUAUAUGGGAAUAAAAUGUUCCACGUGUGGGAUUUUGUAUGUACCAUAUGAAUAAGGAUCGGCUAACUCCGUGCCAGCAGCCGCGGUAAUACGGAGGAUCCGAGCGUUAUCCGGAUUUAUUGGGUUUAAAGGGAGCGUAGGGGGAUUGUUAAGUCAGUUGUGAAAGUUUGCGGCUCAACCGUAAAAUUGCAGUUGAAACUGGCAGUCUUGAGUACAGUAGAGGUGGGCGGAAUUCGUGGUGUAGCGGUGAAAUGCUUAGAUAUCACGAAGAACUCCGAUUGCGAAGGCAGUUCACUGGACUGCAACUGACACUGAGGCUCGAAAGUGUGGGUAUCAAACAGGAUUAGAUACCCCAGUAGUC